CCCACUGGGUUCCCCUCGCCCGCGAAACCCUUGUUCGGCCGGUCGCAGAACCUGCCCAGGGGCGUCGACAGAACCCUGUGGCCGGAACAAACUCGGUACUUGGACGGAGCGAGUGGGGUGCGGGUGUCCCCGCGGGUCCCAGCUCCGGGGGACUCGGUGCUAGGAGCCUGCUGAAACGCACUGCCCGUCCCUCUUAGACUCGGGUCAGUCGAGGAACGGCCGGGGAAGGGCGGGCGGCCCCCCGGCGGCUCGGCCGGGCUCCGUCUAGCGUCGGAUCCUCCGAACACGUCACGGGCCGGGCCGGCUCAGGAGGCAGGUGGUCGCUGGGGCGGGACAGUCCAGACGCCCGCGCCCUCCCGGCAAACAGCCGCGGAGCAGAGCGUUUCGCCCCCGAGAGCGCCACCCGCGUCCGCGCCGGCGCGUUUACGACAGUGUCCGCCUCGCAGGCCCGCUUUCCGGCACCGCGGGCUGACGCGUCUCCGUUUCCGACGGCGGAGCGCAGGCGGCCCGCGGCGUGAAUGGGCCUCCGGUGGGGGCGGUGGUUCGAGUCCCGAUGCGGGAAUGAGCCUCUUUGACCUCUUUCGCGGCUUUUUCGGCUUUUCCGGACCUCGGAGCCGCAGAGAUCCCUUUUUUGGAGGGAUGACUCGAGAUGAAGAUGAGGACGACGAGGAAGAAGAAGGAGCCUCGUGGGGCCCUGGGAGCGCGAGGUUUGAGGAGGGUCCCCAGUCCCCGGAGGAGUUUGCCUUUGGCUUCAGCUUCAGCCCGGGAGGAGGGAUGCGUUUCCAUGACAACUUCGGCUUCGAUGACCUCUUCCGGGACUUCAACAGCAUCUUCAGCGAGAUGGGAGCCUGGACCUUGCCUUCCCGGCCCCCUGAACUCCCCGGUCUUGAGUCAGAGACACCUGGUGAGAGACGGCAGGAGGGACAGACCCUUCGGGACUCGAUGCUGAAGUAUCCAGAUAGUCACCAGCCCAGGAUCUUUGGAGGGGUGUCGGAGAGUGAUACACAAAGUGACUCCCCGAAACCAGCACCAGACUGGGGCUCCCAGAGACCUUUUCGUAAGUUGGACGAUAUGUGGCCUUUGACCCCCCACUCUAGAGCCAGAGAGGACAAGGAUCUUGAUUCCCAGGUUUCCCAGGAGGGCCUCGGCCCGGUUCUGCAGCCCCAGCCCAAAUCCUACUUCAAGAGCGUCUCUGUGACCAAGAUCACCAGGCCGGACGGGAUGGUAGAGGAGCGCCGGACCGUGGUGGACAGCGAGGGCCGGACAGAGACCACAGUCACCCGUCAGGGGGCAGACGGCAGUCCCAGAGACGAUCCAGAGUCACCAGCAGCUCCAGCCCUGGACGAUGACGCCUCGUCCGUCCUGGACUUGUUCCUUGGCCGUUGGUUCCGGUCCCGGUAGUCCUGUUGACCCUCAGAGGCCUUCUGGUUCUGUCCACCUCGCACCCUUUGCUCGGCGUCGACGGGCUUAGCUUCUCCUGCCACCUCAGGGCCUUGGGUGUGUGGAAAAGUGAAUCGUGGAUGGAGAAGCCAGAGAUUAUCAGACAUCUGUGGACAGCCUCCAUCAUGAAGGAUGGACACAAACCAAAGAGAAGCACCUUGGAAGAAACAGACUGUGCAGAAAGAUGAAAAUUUAGCAAGGACACAAGUCUUUACUGUCCUUUGAAAUGUGAGAUGACGUAUUCAUAAAACCAGAACAGAAUGCUACAAAAGAGGAGUAAACAAAACAAAUUUUGGGGAGUCAAAAAAAAAAAAAAAACUAGAAUGAUAUAAAUCAUCCACGAAAUAAGGAAAUAUCUCAGAAGUAAAGGAUUAUCACUUUCUAACCCGAAAGGACCCACCGCACGCUAGACACCAAGGAUGAAAAUAAACCCACUCCAAGGCUCAGCGUGUGAAACUGCAGAAGGCUCGAGACAGGAGAAGCCUGAAGGUGAGUGGGAAGCGAGGUCACGUACAGAGGGUCAGGGAACGAAUGUUCUCUAACUUUUAACAGCAACACCGGAAUUAAAAGACAGUGGAGCAUUAACAGCAACACCGGAAUUAGAAGACAGUGGAGCAUGGCUUUUAAAAUACCGAAGGAAAAUUAUUUCCAAGCUAGGAUGUAUAUACCCAAGAAAACGAUGCAUUAAAUGUGAGAGCAUAAUAUUUAGACAUGAAAGGUGUAUCAGCAAAAACCUAUACCAAACAUUGAAUGACGAAAGACAUGCUUUUUCCAACUGUGAUCAGGAAGGAAACCCAGAUAGCUGCUCUUACCACACGAUUCCAACAUUGUCCUGGAGGUUCUAGCUGGUGCGUGACGCCAGAAAUUUCGUUCAGUGGAAGAUGUGGAAUGGAGAGGAAAUAAAGCUAUUUACAGACGCCGUGACCUUGUGUGUAGAAAAAAAUUCUAAGACGUCAACAACGACAAAUUACUAGUAGUAACAGUACAGCAAGGUUUCAGGAUACAAGAUCAACGUAUAUAAGAUCAAAAAGAUUUCUGUAUAUUCACAGCAAUCCGAAUAUGAAAUUAAAGGAACAAUUCCAUUCAUAAUGUGAUAAGGAAUAAAAUAAAAUUUUGUUUGAGUUUGA
RNA transcript from Pteropus alecto (black flying fox), 2567 nucleotides. It is a transcript of the gene named HCLS1 associated protein X-1, with no coding region annotated. The record is from RefSeq and is a predicted model, not a curated record. The transcript has 8 exons. Lineage: Eukaryota; Metazoa; Chordata; Mammalia; Chiroptera; Pteropodidae.